Molecule: ribosomal RNA, 434 nt
Filed under: Kotatea raekura
Lineage: Eukaryota; Metazoa; Cnidaria; Anthozoa; Malacalcyonacea; Alcyoniidae
Description: Alcyoniidae gen. K sp. r GMK-2022 partial large subunit ribosomal RNA
Source: RNAcentral
GAAGCGAAUGGAGUUAGCAAUUCGCCCUGCCAGAUUCAGCUGCUCGUGCUUCGCGACGUGCGCGCUCUCGAUCCGCAUGGACGAGACGUGUGCGGGCGCGGCGCUCGGACGGCGCACUUCUGACGGGCGAGCGUCAGCGUCGGUUGUCGACGGGCGACAAGGAUGCAAGGAAGGUGGACCGGCCCUCGGGACGGUUGUUAAGCCUUGCGCUCGUAUAGCUCGACGGCGACCGUGGCUCGAAGAGGCGACGCGUGCCUGGCUGGCGACUCGGACGAUCGGUCUGGCAUGUCGACUGUGGCGGACGGCACGCCUGUGCGCUCGAACUGCUGCCGGUCGAUCGUGCGAUGUUCGCACACUACGCGUCGAAGAUGCUGACGACCAUACGGCUCCAUCCGACCCGUCUUGAAACACGGACCAAGGAGUCUAACAUGUGC